UUUCAAAGGAAGGUGAGAAUUAAGUCAAGUCACUGUGGCCCUUAUGGGUUGGGCUACACACGUGCUACAAUGAAAAUGACAAAAAGUAACAAAAAUAAAAAUUUUUAGUUAAUCUUUAAAAAUUUUCCUAGUUCGGAUUGUAAACUGCAACUCGUUUACAUGAAGGUGGAAUCACAAGUAAUCGCAAAUCAGAACGUUGCGGUGAAUACGUACCUUGGCUUUGUACACACCGCCCGUCACAUGCAGAAA
This 249-nucleotide ribosomal RNA is filed under the name uncultured Thalassiosira. RNAcentral describes it as "partial Bacterial small subunit ribosomal RNA". It matches the Rfam family "Bacterial small subunit ribosomal RNA", at positions 1161 to 1409 of the family's 1533-position model. The record is from RNAcentral. Lineage: Eukaryota; Bacillariophyta; Thalassiosirophyceae; Thalassiosirales; Thalassiosiraceae.